CAGUCGCGCGGUAACACAGAGGAUGCAAGCGUUAUCCGGAUUUAUUGGGCGUAAAGCGAGCGCAGGCGGUUAGAUAAGUCUGAAGUUAAAGGCUGUGGCUUAACCAUAGUACGCUUUGGAAACUGUUUAACUUGAGUGCAAGAGGGGAGAGUGGAAUUCCAUGUGUAGCGGUGAAAUGCGUAGAUAUAUGGAGGAACACCGGUGGCGAAAGCGGCUCUCUGGCUUGUAACUGACGCUGAGGCUCGAAAGCGUGGGGAGCAAACAGGAUUAGAUACCCGAGUAGUCCCUGUCUCUUAUACAC
This 301-nucleotide ribosomal RNA is filed under the name uncultured bacterium. RNAcentral describes it as "partial 16S ribosomal RNA". It matches the Rfam family "Bacterial small subunit ribosomal RNA", at positions 509 to 809 of the family's 1533-position model. The record is from RNAcentral.